Molecule: non-coding RNA, 81 nt
Filed under: Blautia producta
Lineage: Bacteria; Bacillati; Bacillota; Clostridia; Lachnospirales; Lachnospiraceae
Description: S10-Clostridia ribosomal protein leader
Rfam family: S10-Clostridia ribosomal protein leader
Source: RNAcentral
UGAUAGCUGUGAAGCGUGAGGUUGCUGCCGAGAUGGCAGGUUUUCCGUGGAGCGAAUGUCAAGUUAGGAAACUGACGACAA